This 1433-nucleotide ribosomal RNA is filed under the name uncultured archaeon. RNAcentral's name for it is "bacterial SSU rRNA". It matches the Rfam family "Archaeal small subunit ribosomal RNA". The record is from RNAcentral.
CGGUUGAUCCUGCCGGACGUUACUGCUAUCGGGGUACGACUAAGACAUGCUAGUCGAGAGGGGUAAGAAGAGCAUACAGCUCAGUAACACGUGGCUAACCUGCCCUUGGGACGGGGAUAACCCCGGGAAACUGGGGCUAAUACCGGAUAGAUCAGAGAUACUGGAAUGGGUCUUCACCCAAAAAGCCUAGUGCUCAAGGAUGGAGCCGCGGCCGAUCAGGUAGUUGUUGGGGUAACGUACCUACUAGCCAGCGACCGGUGCGGGCCGUGGGAGCGAGAGCCCGGAGAUGGGAACUGAGACAAGGGUCCAGGUCCUACGGGGCGCAGCAGUCGCGAAAACUUUACACUGCGCGAAAGCGCGACAGGGCUACCCCGAGUGCCAGCACCUAGUGCUGGCUGUUACUCUGUCUAGAAAACAGUGGUUAGCAAGGGCCGGGCAAGUCUGGUGUCAGCCGCCGCGGUAAUACCAGCGCUCCGAGUGGUGUCCAUUUUUAUUGGGUCUAUAGGAUCCGUAGCCGGCCAAUUCAGUCUCCUGUUAAAUCUGGCGGCUCAAUCGUCAGGUUUCCGAGAGAUACUGGCCGGCUUGGGACCGGGAGAGGUGGGAGGUACUCCCGGGGUAGGGGUGAAAUCCUGUAAUCCCGGGGAGACCACCAGUGGCGAAGGCUGUCGGCCAGAACGGGUCCGACGGUGAGGGACGAAACCUGGGGGCACGAACCGGAUUAGAUACCCGGGUAGUCCCAGCUGUAAACGAUGCUCGCUACGUGUAAGGUCGGCCACGCGCCGCUCUGGUGCCGCAGUGAAACUGUGAAGCCUGUCACCUGGGAAGUACGGUCGCAAGACUGAAACUUAUAGGAAUUGGCGGGGGUGCACUACAACGGGUGGAGCCUGCGGUUCAAUUCGAUUCAACGCCGGAAAGCUUACCGGGUUCGACAGCACUAUGAAGGUCAGGCUAAAGACCUUACCGAAUACGCUGAGAGGAGGUGCAUGGCCGUCGUCAGUUCGUAUCGUGAGACAUCCUGUUAAGUCAGGCAACGAGCAAGACCCGUGCCCACAGUUGCGAGCGUCUUCGCAAGAAGGACGGGCACACUGUGGGGACCGCCGCUGCUAAAGCGGAGGAAGGUGCGGGCUUCGGUAGGUCAGUAUGCCCCGAAUCGUCCGGGCUACACGCGGGCUACAUUGGUUGGGACAAUGGGCACCAACACCGAAAGGUGACGGUAAUCUCCUAAACCCAGCCUUAGUUCGGAUUGAGGGCUGCAACUCGCCCUCAUGAAGCCGGAAUCCGUAGUAAUCGCGUAUCAACAUCACGCGGUGAAUACGUCCCUGCUCCUUGCACACACCGCCCGUCAAACCAUGGGAGUGAGGUCUGAAUGAGGGCAUGCUUAAACAAGUUCGAAUUAGGCUUCGCGAGUGGGGUUAAGUCGUAACAAGGUAGCC